RNAcentral lists this ribosomal RNA (460 nucleotides) under uncultured bacterium. RNAcentral's name for it is "bacterial SSU rRNA". It matches the Rfam family "Bacterial small subunit ribosomal RNA", at positions 338 to 795 of the family's 1533-position model. The record is from RNAcentral.
CCUACGGGUGGCUGCAGUAGGGAAUAUUGGGCAAUGGAUGCAAGUCUGACCCAGCCAUGCCGCGUGCCGGAAGAAGGUCCUCAGGAUUGUAAACGGCUUUUAUUCGGGAAGAAGAGCAGGGAUGCGUCCUUGUGUGACGGUACCGAAUGAAUAAGCACCGGCUAACUCCGUGCCAGCAGCCGCGGUAAUACGGAGGGUGCGAGCGUUGUCCGGAUUUAUUGGGUUUAAAGGGUGCGUAGGUGGCUUAAUAAGUCAGUGGUGAAAUACAGCCGCUCAACGGUUGAGGUGCCAUUGAUACUGUUAAGCUUGAAACAAUUGGAGGCUGCCGGAAUGGAUGGUGUAGCGGUGAAAUGCAUAGAUAUCAUCCAGAACACCGAUUGCGAAGGCAGGUGGCUACGAUUGGUUUGACACUGAGGCACGAAAGCAUGGGGAGCAAACAGGAUUAGAUACCCUGGUAGUC